Molecule: ribosomal RNA, 415 nt
Filed under: uncultured Alphaproteobacteria bacterium
Lineage: Bacteria; Pseudomonadati; Pseudomonadota; Alphaproteobacteria
Description: bacterial SSU rRNA
Rfam family: Bacterial small subunit ribosomal RNA
Source: RNAcentral
CGAGCGAGGUACUUGUACCUAGCGGCAGACGGGUGCGUAACAUGUGGGAAUCUGCCUUUUGGUUCGGAACAACACGGGGAAACUUGUGCUAAUACCGGAUAAGUCCUAACGGGGAAAGAUUUAUCGCCGAAAGAUGAGCCCGCACUAGAUUAGCUUGUUGGUAAGGUAAAAGCUUACCAAGGCUACGAUCUAUAGCUGAUUUGAGAGGAUGAUCAGCCACACUGGGACUGAGACACGGCCCAGACUCCUACGGGAGGCAGCAGUGGGGAAUCUUGCACAAUGGAGGAAACUCUGAUGCAGCGAUGCCGCGUGAGUGAAGAAGGCCCUUGGGUUGUAAAGCUCUUUUGUCGGGAAUGAUAAUGACUGUACCCGAAGAAUAAGGUCCGGCUAACUUCGUGCCAGCAGCCGCGGUAAU